UCACCAAGGGGACGACGGGUACCCGCCUUAGAGGGUGACCGGCCACACUGGGACUGAGACACGGCCCAGAUUCCUACGGGAGGCAGCAGUGGGGAAUAUUGCACAAUGGGCGAAAGCCUGAUGCAGCGACCCCGCUUGAGGGAUGACGGCCUUCGGGUUGUAAACCUCUUUCAGCACGGAAGAAGCGAAAGUGACGGUACGUGCAGAAGAAGCGCCGGCUAACUACGUGCCAGCAGCCGCGGUAAUACGUAGGGCGCAAGCGUUGUCCGGAAUUAUUGGGCGUAAAGAGCUCGUAGGCGGUUUGUCGCGUCUGCUGUGAAAGCCCGGGGCUUAACCCCGGGUGUGCAGUGGGUACGGGCAGACUUGAGUGCAGUAGGGGAGACUGGAAUUCCUGGUGUAGCGGUGAAAUGCGCAGAUAUCAGGAGGAACACCGAUGGCGAAGGCAGGUCUCUGGGCUGUUACUGACGCUGAGGAGCGAAAGCAUGGGGAGCGAACAGGAUUAGAUACCCUGGUAGUCCAUGCCGUAAACGUUGGGCACUAGGUGUGGGGAACAUUCCACGUUUUCCGCGCCGUAGCUAACGCAUUAAGUGCCCCGCCUGGGGAGUACGGCCGCAAGGCUAAAACUCAAAGGAAUUGACGGGGGCCCGCACAAGCGGCGGAGCAUGCGGAUUAAUUCGAUGCAACGCGAAGAACCUUACCAAGGCUUGACAUACACCGGACCGGGCCAGAGAUGGUCUUUCCCCCUUGUGGGGCUGGUGUACAGGUGGUGCAUGGUUGUCGUCAGCUCGUGUCGUGAGAUGUUGGGUUAAGUCCCGCAACGAGCGCAACCCUCGUUCUAUGUUGCCAGCACGUGAUGGUGGGGACUCAUAGGAGACUGCCGGGGUCAACUCGGAGGAAGGUGGGGAUGACGUCAAAUCAUCAUGCCCCUUAUGUCUUGGGCUUCACGCAUGCUACAAUGGCCAGUACAAUGGGUUGCGAUGCCGCGAGGUGGAGCUAAUCCCAAAAAGCUGGUCUCAGUUCGGAUCGUGGUCUGCAACUCGACCACGUGAAGUCGGAGUCGCUAGUAAUCGCAGAUCAGCAACGCUGCGGUGAAUACGUUCCCGGGCCUUGUACACACCGCCCGUCAAGUCACGAAAGUUGGUAACACCCGAAGCCGGUGGCCUAACCCUUGUGGGGGAGCCGUCGAAUGUGNUU
Molecule: ribosomal RNA, 1194 nt
Filed under: Kocuria rhizophila
Lineage: Bacteria; Bacillati; Actinomycetota; Actinomycetes; Micrococcales; Micrococcaceae
Description: bacterial SSU rRNA
Rfam family: Bacterial small subunit ribosomal RNA
Source: RNAcentral